AGAAAGUUUUUCUGCGUGGCCCGUACGUGGUCCAUGCGGCUCCCUGAGCAAAACAAUUGAUAUCUAUCUACCUUUUCAUUUCAACCUUACCUUGCCACGCGACUCACUUCCCUUGCCAUAAGACAAAAAUAUGAGCAUUUCCCCAGCUGAUUGAUUCAGAUACGACUCAUGUUCAGUUUCGCCCAUAGUUGCAUAUCAAGUUGUUCACCAUUCCUGGCGUUGUACCCGUGGAGACUGCAGAAACCAUGAAAUGCGGCAUGUUUUGAGGCAUAUAGCACUGGGCAAAGGAUCUUAUAGGUGCGAAGUUCACGGGCCAUGGCAUCUGCGUUGAUUCGAUGUUAUUGGACGAGGAGUCACCUCAUAUAAAAACUACUUCGCUUCGUACCCAGCUCACUUGACUCUAGAUUCCGACGAGAAAGCUUGUGAGGAGAUAAUUUCAAGGUAAUGGAACGAUUGCCCUUGACCGACACAGCCGUCGCGGUCAUUCCGUGGAUUCAGCACUGUAAAAUAUUUUGCAAAGAAGAGCGGGCAGCCCGAUCAUCCCUUUACAUUAUGUGCGUCUCCCGCCCCAGCCCUUGGUUCUAGAAUUGAUUUUCUUAGUGCUGGAACAAGUUUUGUAACAUGUAUAUCUACUUUAAAAACCUGCGUUCGUGUUGGGCAAUUCGCAUGUGUCAGUGACUGAGUGGAAAUCGAUUGCCAAUGAACUUACAAAAUUCGUCGACAUUAAUUGAUUUUGAGGCAGCCUUGAAUGGAAUGGAGAAUAGAGC
Molecule: small RNA, 767 nt
Filed under: Histoplasma capsulatum var. duboisii H88
Lineage: Eukaryota; Fungi; Ascomycota; Eurotiomycetes; Onygenales; Ajellomycetaceae
Description: Histoplasma capsulatum H88 hypothetical RNA
Source: RNAcentral